UAGAACGUCCUUGGAUGCUUCUAUCAAGCCAUGUUUUGAGCUUUUGAAACGAUUUCUUGAAAGUAAUGAGAAUAUUUUAGCUGCUCUUAGUCGUGCUCCUUUUUUAAUGUCCUUUAGUUUCAAUGCUACCGUGCGACCAAACCUUGACUUGUUGAAAAAGGAGGGAGUGACCGCUGAUAGGGUUGCAAAACUGCUAUUGUCGCAGCCAAGAUCUUUACAACAUAGUAAUGAUAGGAUGGUUUAUGCUGUCACUUAUCUUAAGCAACUGGGCAUCGAGCCAGACAAGACAAUGUAUAUACAUGCUCUUACAGUGAUUGCACGAAUGAGUGAAUCUGCUUGGAGGAAGAAAAUUGAUAUGUUUAAGAGUGUUGGGUGGACCGAAGAGGAGGUUUUAUGGGCUUUUAAGCGAUUCCCUUAUAUAUUAUUAACUUCAGAGGAGAAAAUCCGGAGCAUGAUGGAUUUCUUUCUGAAUAAGAUGAAGUUGGAACGGCAAACUAUAGUUGCCAAUCCUGCGCUUCUUAAAUACUCUUUUGGCAAUAGGAUUCUUCCGAGGUGCAAUGUUUUGGAGGUUUUGAAGUCAAAGAAGCUGAUUAAAGGAGACCCAAACAUUGCUACUUUAUUAAAAUUAAGCGAGAAGGAUUUCAUGGAGAGAUGUGUUACCAAGUAUGAGGAUAAAGUUCCUGGUUUACUGGAGAUGUAUGGAGGAAUUGACAAAGGAAAAAGAUGAUAAUGGAUAGCAAUGAAGGUAUUGUGUCAACUUGUUUUGAUUUAUAUUUCUCAAUCUAUUACUUGAAUACUGUGACUUCAUUUUCUUGUGAUUUUACAUAUUCUUUCUGUAAGUCAUCCAUUGGAGUUUGUUUUUACUAGCAUUUGUUCAUGUUGAAGAUCAUUUACCGUGUAAUUCUUAGAAUUUUCUGGGAAAUCUUAGUAAACACAACUGUCCUGAUAAAAUUAUGUGAUCGUAUAAUUCUUCCAUUGAUUUUCAGAGUAAAACUGAAUGGUCGAGUAUUUUCAUUUUUGGUAGAGAUUUUUGCUUUGGGAAUCUUAAUUUGAGCACUAAAACAUAAGUGCAGCUAUAUAAAACAUGCUCUUUGGUUGGUUCCCUCACUUGCUCAUAAGCUAAAAGGGUUCUGAUGCUUGUGUAAAUAAUUGUUUUUUAAAUUUCAUAUAAUGUUGUUCAAUGAUAGAACACGAUAGGAAAAGGAAAAAAACAAAAACUACCCUAAACUUCUUUAGACCUUGUAGCUCCAAUCCCUAUGAGCUCUGACCCGGAAAUAAGGUUAGGAGUUUGAAUGGUUAUUUUGCUAAGGUUCAAUAUAGAAGAGGGUGUUAGAUAUGAAAGAUUUAAGUCCUCUUAGUGUCAUCACCCCUGCAUAUAAAAUACCGGCUAUGGUGUUGACAAACUCAGGAAGGUUGUAUCAAUGGACUCGAACAAUGAGUUUGGUUAGGACUUGGGAGAAGCAUAUUUUAGAUUGUAGCAUGAAUGAAUGCAUGGAUUGCAAAUUGCCAUUUGGUACUAGUUUUUUCAUUAAGCUUGUUGUCGAGAAGCUUAGUAAUCUUAACAAACAUAUAUCAUUUGCAUGGUUGGGAUAUAGGAAUUUGGAUGGUGAAGCUUUCUUGUAAUCAAAGCAUACACUCUACUGGUUUUUUUUGUUGGUUCUUUUGCCAUUAUUUGGCAGAUAAUAAUCAAAUAACAAACCCUUGAUUUACCAAGUUGCGUGAUGGAAAAGAUAAAGAUGUAUAAGAACUAAAAGGGGGAAGACACUAAUUUUGUUUUUCAGUGGCGGUAGAGUAUAACUUCCCACAUGACCUCUUCUUCAUAUCUAUGGUGAAGAUGCACAUGUUUAUUUAACCGUAACAUAUGUUUGUCAUUUCUAAACUUCAAUGGACACAUGCAACAGUUGUUUAAACGUCCAGACUUGACACAGAUUGCAUUCUUAUUUAGAAACAAUGGAACAAGUAUUUCAACGGCCGUGUUAUAUUUCAGUUGAAAAACGAUCAAUGUUUGCUAUGGGGCUAAAUUUACAUUAACCAUCUAAUAAUGAAGGUGGAGGGCAACCUUUUGUUUUCUAUAGUUACAUGUGCGCAGUGCAUAAUGAAUUGAAGUUGUCAGCAGUGUUUUAAAUCCUAUUUUAGCAGCAAGCAGUGUUUUCUAUAGUUAUCUUGAGUAAUUGCAAUUUAAUUUCUGACUUAUUUAUACAGUGAUUUUUAAAUUCAUGUUUUUUCCUGAUUCAAAUACCAUAUUAUUCUCCUGAGAAUGUCUUAUCAUUAAAAAGGAUUGGCUCCCAUGUAGUUGCAGAUGUUGAAGCCAAAAAACUGAAGCUGUUUUGAUGUCGAACUCUGAUAUCCCACAAUUAAGAGCAAAAACAUUGCUGAAAACCUUUCCUGGUGGGCAAAAGGCUUGACAAGCACCAGCGUACGAUUUGCCGGACCUCCCAUCCUUCAAAUUAAGGACAGUUCAAAUUUGGCCCUUCAACUUUCAAGACUCCUUGUAGCUGGGACCUUGAUCGUGCUUCCAAGUCUUUUUAACCUUUGAAGACUACAUGAAGGUGCCCUUUAUGUUGUUGUUUUGCACUUGUUAUUCACCUUGUACAGAUAUUAUGUAAGAAUUGAGCUCUGUUGUUGCAUUUAACAAAAUUGAUUAAAAAUUUCAUCUAUUUCAAGCAUUAAAACGAACUAUAGAGGUAAAUAUUUCAAUUUUACCCAGGAUGUAUAGCAAGUUCAAAAAAAAAAAAAUCAGAUCAUAGAACUUACUGUGUAGAAAAUUUAAUAUUUCAGGAUGAAUAACAUUACUCAAAAAGUUAAUCUUUCCCUUAUUUACCAAUUGUAUCAACUAUCUGAUUACUCUCAUUUAUGCAGUAAUCCAUACGUGAACACAAAUUUCCAUAUCUGCAAUUUAGUUUAUUCUUUUUUGACAUUGACUUGGAUCAAAUGCAAGUGACUUGAUAAAUUGAUCCACAAUUUAGAUAUCAUUUUAAACUCGUCUGGGUCAAAAUUAACAAUUUUUUAUAAAAAAUUAUCUGUUUUUAUAAAAAAAAAAUAUAUAUUUAUCACGUUCUGAGCUCUUUCUUGAGCUUGACUUGUUUAUCUAAUCUAUAAACACGUUUAAUAGGAAUUUCAUGUGUUAUAAUAGCAACAAAUUCAAACUCAUUAUUCAAAUCUUCCAUAACCUCCUGCAUCAUAUUGGGUUUAGCUUGGUGGGACAGAGAUAAUGUUGGUUAAUUUGUUUCCUUACCUUCUCUUUAUAUUUCCUUUAUAGCAUUUUAUUUUACUUCUUGUGUAUAUAAGGGAGCAUACAAAGCAUUCGUUUGAUUGUUAAAAUGUCACUCAGAUAUUUAUUUUACCUUCAUGUCCAAUCAGCUCCAAUGAUCAUGUCUAAUAUUUUUUUUUCUUUUCUUUUUUAGGUCACACAAUCAUCUCAAGAUAAAAUAAUUGUAUUAAAAAUUUAGAAAUUCAUGGAUAUCCAAAGUGAAUAUGGAAAAGUUUGAAUAUGAAAAAGUGGGAGUAAUGAUAGUUUAAAAUAUAGGUAAGAGAACCAAUUUGAUAAUCAAUCAGGUUUAAGAAAUGAAUCGAAAGGUUAAAUGGAUUGACUUGUAGAUUGAUAUAUUAACUCAAAUUAUGAUUUAAAAAAACAAAAACAACAUCGUUUUGGUAAAAAAGAACUAAAAUCUAACCCGAGUCAAGUUUCAGAUUAUCAAGUCAACUCGUUAAGCCAAACUGAGUAUUAUAAGCAUGGUUUAAAAGCCUUAAAUGAACCCACUUAAACAAAAUAAAUAGGGUUUGCACUUAUAGAGGUGACUUGACAAAGAGAUAUCUUAAAUACAAAACUAUCCUAAAUUCCUUCAUGAUUAAUCUUGGCAACGUUUAACUUAGUGGAACAAAGGUAGUUUUUAUGGCUUGUUCCAAAUUAUAUUGCUUAAUUGUUGCUUGAAUCACAAUUUAAGGAUGCUAGAGGCACUGUCUUUGCUUGCUUACGACAAUUUCCCCAAACAUUAAAUUAUGAUUGGAUAUGACGUUAUCUGCUGUUGUUUUCAUGGCAUGUUUAGACCAAAAACGCCAUUGCUAAUAAAAUGUAGGUUCCAAUCAUUUUUCAACUACGACAAGUUUGUAGCAGAAAAAAAACAACAGAAAAAACUGAAGGAAAAAAACAUGAAAAAUAAAUUAUUGUAAGAAAAUCUAAAUUCCUUAUGUUAAUGGUAGGGAUGGCAAGUGUAACUACAUCCAUGGAGGUCCACCUUCAUUUACUCGAUCGAAAAUUAAGUGUGGAAGGAAGUUCGUUCUUAAGGUGAAGGUAGAGGCGAAUAAAAUACUGGCUUGGUUGGGUGAUCAUGUUUGGAAGUAUGGUUGUGGUUGUUUUUUAAAAUAAUUUUUAUUUAAAAAUGUAUUAAAAUGAUUUAAAAAACAAUUAUUUUUAAUAUCAGCAUAUCAAAAUGAUCAGAAAACAUCAAAAAUAUAUUAAUUUGAAGUAAAAAAAUAAAAAAAUUUAAUUUUUUUCAAAAAUAUUUUUAAAACGAAAAUAUAAACAGGUCUAUCUUUAUACUUGAAUUUACACAUAAAUAUAUUUUAUUUUAUUUUUACAAAUAAAUUUACGAUAGUUUAUGUAUUUCUAAAAUAUUAUUUUAAGUAAUUUUUUAAAUAAAUGUAAAAUAUUUUAUUUUUAAUGAUCCAUGCAUAUUAUUUAAUUGAAAUUUAUCAUAAAAAAUAUAUAUGUACUUGCCCGUCUUUUUUUUUUUUUUUUUUUAGUUUAACGUGGAUGUCCGGGUCAGCUUGCGCGCACCUCGACUAAUCCCACGGGCCCUGAAGUUAACGAUCAUGUAAGCCUCCAGUGGUCAUCAUAUAAGUAACCACAAGACUUGAACCUGAGACCACAGAGAAAGCAAACCUUUUGAUUCCAGGCUUUUACCAUUAGGUCACCAUCUAAAUCAGAGCUGGUGUGGACUGUGGAGUGCUACACUCUCAAAGAAGGAGGGUUGUUUUAUGGUGCUUUAUUGUUCAUUGAAUCACCUUAAUAUAUUUUUUAAAUUAUUUUAUAAUAAAUUAAUGUGUUAAUUAGCGUGUGUGACAACCGAAACGUCAUGAGUUCGAGCGCUGGGGGAGGUGCAUUUAUUUUUUGAAUUGUUAUAAAUGACCCGCUUAUCAUAUUUUUUUCAAAAAAAAUAUAGAGUGAAUGGAUAAAAAGAUAGAACAAGGACAUGUGUGUGUGACUAGCCUGCUGCUGGUGAGCCGGGUGUUGACCGUAGUCGUUCUUUUGUUUUUAUUUCUUUUUAUUUUUUUCAUUUACAUUCUAAAAAAUUUACUAGAUUUAUUUACUUUUUAUUUUUAAUAUGGUUUUUAUUUUUAAAUACUAGUAUAAUUCUUUAUUUGAAUUUUAAUAUUUUUUCUUAAUUGUUAUGUAUUUCAUAUGAAAAUAAUAAUAUUAUAAAUAAUAAAUUGUUUAUUAAAAAUUGAUUGAAAUGAGUUUACAUUAUAAAAAUGUUUAAAUAGAUUUUGAAGAUGAUUUCAUUACAUAUUACAUUUACGAUUUUUUUACAUUUUAAAAAUCAUAAAAUAUUUUUUAAAACAAAAACAAUGGUUUUAAUUAAAACUAUUACAUUGAGGAAGAUAAAUAAAAGACACGUUAAUAGAAAAACUUCUUUUAAAAAAAGGAAAUCCAAAACAAUUGUAUUUUGAAAUUUCAUGAUAAUGUCAAAAAAAAAAUUAUCUAUGUAUUUUUCAUGUUUAAAAAAAUUAAACUUUUCAUAAAUAACAUGAAUAUACAAACUAAUUUAACUUUGUACAAAUAAAAACUGACAUAAAAGUUAAAAACAUUAUUUGAAAGUAUGGUAAAUACUGUUUUUUAAAAUAUUUUUCACUUGAAAAUAUAUCAAAAUAAUAUUUUUUUAUUUUUAAUACUAACACAUAUCAUCAACAAACACUGAAAAAUAUUAAAUUAUUUUUCUUAAAAAUAAAAUAAAAAACAAGGUUUCAUUUCAAUUAUAAACCGAGCCAAAAUAUCUUCAUAGAUGCAAAAACUAGAGGGUGGCUGAGCCUCCUUCGACCUCCAUUGUAAUCCCUACUCAAUGGGUUUUAACUUAAAGGCUCUCUGUCCCCCCUCUCACUCCAGUUUCUCUCUGAAAAAAGGGGCCACCUGAAACAAGCCCAUCUGGGCCAGUCAAAUUUAGCAGACCGCCAGCCAGCCAGGGGAGAAACCCUAACGAAAACCCUUCUUCUUCUUCUUCUUCUUUUCCUGUCAUCAAUCUUUCAGCAUUUUGCUUCCCACUAAAAAUGAACACCAAUAUUAAUAGCAAUAUACCAUUGAGAAAUCUGCUUUCUCUGAUUCAAAAUCGUUUCCUGAAAACAUCAUCUACUACACGACCUCCCAAUGCCUCAACUUCUUUUACUGUUCAAUACCUCGUCAACUCAUGCGGCCUUCCUCUACAAUCUGCUCUUUCCGUCUCCAAAAAGUUCCAAAUCGAUGAGAAUAACCUUCAGAAGCCUCAAUCCGUCAUCCAGUUCUUGAAAUCUUACGAUUUUCAGGAUGCCCACGUUGCCAAAUUGAUCGAAAAGUGGCCUGCUGUCCUCCGUUCCAGAACAGAAGGUAAUCUCAAGCCUAAGUUUGACUUCUUCAUAAAAAAUGGCUUUGUGGGUCAGCUUCUGCCUCAGCUUGCCGUAUUGGAUCCGAGAAUUUUUAGAGCCUCCUUACAUGCUCAUAUCAAGCCAUGUUUUGAGCUUUUGAAACGUUUUCUUGAAAGUAAUGAGAAUAUUUUAGCUGCUCUUAGUCGUGCUCCUUUUUUAAUGUCCUUUAGUUUCAAUGCUACCGUGCGACCAAACCUUGACUUGUUGAAAAAGGAGGGAGUGACCGCUGAUAGGGUUGCAAAACUGCUGUUGUCGCAGCCAAGAUCUUUACAACAUAGUAAUAAUAGGAUGGUUUAUGCUGUCACUUAUCUUAAGCAACUGGGCAUC
Molecule: long non-coding RNA, 6942 nt
Filed under: Populus trichocarpa (black cottonwood)
Lineage: Eukaryota; Viridiplantae; Streptophyta; Magnoliopsida; Malpighiales; Salicaceae
Description: long non-coding RNA (PTRI_LNC001047)
Source: RNAcentral